This 893-nucleotide long non-coding RNA is filed under the name Bos indicus x Bos taurus (hybrid cattle). Its description in RNAcentral is "lncRNA (ENSBIXG00005026014.1)". Lineage: Eukaryota; Metazoa; Chordata; Mammalia; Artiodactyla; Bovidae. The record is from RNAcentral.
AGCCUUUCCCACCCUCUGGGCCCUCCCACUUUUCCAUUCUGUCCCUGUGCCCAAAUUUGGAGCCAGCCCGCCAGGAUCUCCCAGCCAAUCAAGAGACCACACAUUGUUGCCUAAGAGACCCCGGAUGCCAGGGAAAAGAUUUAUAGGUAGUGAUUGGCCUACUGGAAGGGGUGGGGGCUAGACGGAGUCACAGAAACAGGAGCUAUGGCAACACCAGCGCUAGAGGCUUGAGGAGAAAGACUUGAAGAGAAAGACUUAAAGAGUUUGACAAAUGGAUGGACACUCAGAGGAGAAGAAUCCUGACAGUCCUGUUAGAACGCUGCUCCCUGUCACAGCAAAAGUUCUGCUGUUGAAAGCUUCAGGAGAAAAUUCCAGCAGAAGCUCUGGAUUUUACGACCAAGCUCCCAAAGCCCAUAAAAUAAUCCUGGACAUAACACACUGGCCACCUGAUGUGAAGAGCUGACUCACUUGAAAAGACCCUGAUGUUGGGAAAGAUUGAAGGCAGGAGGAGAAGGGGACAACAGAGGAUGAGAUGGUUGGAUGGCAUCACCAACUCAAUGGACGUGAGUUUGGGUAACUUUCAAACUCCGUACACAAUGGAUGGAAGGAGGGAGGAAGAGAGACAGAUAGAUAAACAGAUGGAUGGGUAGUGAGUUCCAUUACAGAGUGUUCUGCUCCUUUUGGGGGCACUCAAACAUUAUUUAUUAUUGAGUUAACCUUGAAAAAGAGGCCAGUUUUCCAAAGAUGAAAUGAAUGUGAAGACUAGUUACCAUCUCUGCAAUUCAUGUUAAGAGAUAUGGAAUGCCUAGUCUGAACUUUAUAUAUGGACUUGACUUUAGUUUCUACUAAGACUUAUUUAAAACCUGGAAUAAAUUAUUUUAAAAACUACUACA